UAAAUAAAUAAUACUCCGAAGAGUAGUAUUAAUGGUGUCCGAAGAGAAGAAAGAACCUUCCUUUGUUCCUUCUCAGAUGAUCCAACAACUCAAAUCACACUCAAACCUUCUUUCUCUAUUAUGGGUUUUGCUCAAUUUUUCUAACAACCUGGACUUUAAAUUUUCUUCAUCAUCAUGCAAACUCCCGUGCUGGAUCCGCAAGAUCAGAGGUCUUUGUUGUUUGUAUUGCCUAUACUCCUUGUCUACCUCUGUUUGUACCUGUGGUGCCGUUGUUGCUCAUCAAGUAUGUAUCUGGAUCUAAUUCACAUUGAGGAGAUGAUCUAUACUCUCGGUAACGCGGUAUUGUCUCAGAUGCCAAACUAAAACAAAACAAAAGGCAGGACCGUUGAUGCAAAUGUGGCAACAUAAAACUGAAUAAACGAACUAGACAUGUUACAAUUCAAAUAAGGAAUGUGAUACAGGCAACCUUGCAUUACGUAGGAAUGUGAUCAUCUCCAUAAAGCUUAAGAUAACACCGUUGAAUCUAAUUCACACAAGUUUUAUUAUUAGAAAUAAUAUUAUUUUAUCCCACUUCCAAAUUAUGAGAAGAUGGUGACACUUUAUGGACCCAAUGGCGAUGAAUCAUCAGAUUUAUUAUUAGAAAUAAUAUUAUUUUGUCCCAAUGAAAUGAUUGAAAUGAAAGAGUCAAUGAAUAUGGUUGCUGAGGCACUACGAGAAGGAAAUGAAAUAAUGAGAGAACGUCAAAAAUAUGAUCUGCCUCCAAUUUCUGGUGAAGAAACAUGGAAUUUAAUAGAGGGUUGCGGGUGUGAGGCAGCGUCAUUGCCUGAGAUAUAUUGUGCUGUCAUGAACGAUGUUAACAAACUUAGAAUGAUUCUCCAAUGUCCACUUGAAGCACGCAAAGCUGUGAUAAUGCAACUGGUCUUUGGUUCAUCUAAUUAAUCAUCCUAUAACGGUGUUAUGAUGUUUAUGAAUAUUUUAUUUGCAUUUUAAUAUGUUUUUUAAUAUUUGGAAC
This is an RNA transcript of Trifolium pratense (red clover), 1012 nucleotides long. RefSeq lists it as uncharacterized. The record is from RefSeq and is a predicted model, not a curated record. The transcript is spliced from 2 exons. NCBI's taxonomy places the organism in Eukaryota, Viridiplantae, Streptophyta, Magnoliopsida, Fabales, Fabaceae.